RNAcentral lists this ribosomal RNA (253 nucleotides) under uncultured bacterium. RNAcentral describes it as "partial 16S ribosomal RNA". It matches the Rfam family "Bacterial small subunit ribosomal RNA", at positions 524 to 776 of the family's 1533-position model. The record is from RNAcentral.
UACGUAGGGAGCAAGCGUUGUCCGGAAUCAUUGGGCGUAAAGCGCGUGUAGGCGGCUUGGUAAGUCUGCUCUGAAAGCCCGGGGCUCAACCCCGGGAGGCGGGUGGAUACUGCUGAGCUCGAGUCCGGAAGAGGCGAGUGGAAUUCCUGGUGUAGCGGUGAAAUGCGCAGAUAUCAGGAGGAACACCGAUUGCGAAGGCAGCUCACUAAGCUGUAACUGACACUGAGGCACGAAAGUGUGGGUAGCAAACAGG